UCUAAAUGAUAAUAGAGAGAAGAUUCAGGGCGUAGUGAAAAAUCCUCUCUUUUUUUUCCAUCCCCCCACCCUAUUAGGAAAUCAACAGUUCUUUGGGAAACUGCUGCACAUUUCUAGUGUUGAAUGCCAAAGGGGAAGCCUCCCGAAGACAAGUUGUAUUAUGAGUAUAUAAUUUCUUGACAUCUUAACGUAAAAAGUCAGCUCAGGCACUCCAGGGAAAGAAUAU
Molecule: long non-coding RNA, 226 nt
Filed under: Capsicum annuum
Lineage: Eukaryota; Viridiplantae; Streptophyta; Magnoliopsida; Solanales; Solanaceae
Description: long non-coding RNA (CANN_LNC004260)
Source: RNAcentral